Long non-coding RNA from Panthera uncia (snow leopard), 954 nucleotides. RefSeq lists it as uncharacterized. The transcript has 3 exons. NCBI's taxonomy places the organism in Eukaryota, Metazoa, Chordata, Mammalia, Carnivora, Felidae. The record is from RefSeq and is a predicted model, not a curated record.
GAGGGAAACAUGACUGCCUACAGCUCUGGAGCCUCCCGUAUCAUAAGUCGUCACCACCAGAGUGGGACUGGCUGUUUGAAAAGUCCCAGGCAGCUGGAAAUAAGGGUCUACCUCCCCGUGGUGGUAUCACCAGCGUGGACCACGCUCAGCCUGAGGGGAUGCCGCACUCGCAGCCUUUCCAGAUGCCCUGUUCAGUGCUGGAUCUCAUGCUGGGUGCUGGGGUGACAUCAGUGAAUUCUCCCAGGCCCUUUCCCCAGGGCUCAGAGGAUCAGGGGCGCCAGGACACCAGCAAGCCAUGAGUGGGGGAGGGGACAAUCCCUGGCUCACUUUGGCAGUGUGUGACUUCUCUUUGUGUGCCUUGAUCUGGACCGGGUCUUUCUCCUUUCUUCCCUUUACUGCACCCUGGCUGCACGCUUGCCAGUCUGCCCAUCUGGAUGUCCAGGAGAGCCAAUUUCCUUUCUUCUGGGGCGAUAAUUUUUCAAACGAGGUCAGGUGAUUUCUAAGAAUCUGUAGCGGGAGUGUCUGUAUAAGCUUAAUAAAAACAAAUCCAUCAGCAGAAUUUACGUGACUCACCUGGGAACAGACAAAAAUUCCCCCGACAGUCUUCAUACAAAGGACGGAAAAUGCUAGCCCCCUGAGGCGUGGGCUGCUGAGGGAUCAAGAAGGUAGAAAGAGAGGAUUCAGAACAUGCCCGGCAUUUUGUGAAUGAAACGUUCUUGAGUUACUUGUGUUUGUCAUGUGCGUAGAGUGCAAAUAGCAUGUAUUAUGGUCCACGUUGCACACCUGAUGUAUUUACUGUGUUAAAGUUGUGCAACACGGUAUAGAAGCAUUUUCCUUCUGGACUCCUGGGUGGCUGUCAGCUGAGCGUCCAACUCUCGAUUUCAGCUCAGGUCAUGAGCUCCCAGUUUGAGUCCCACAUUGGUCUCCACACUGAUGGUGCGGAGCCUUCUUGGG